RNAcentral lists this ribosomal RNA (460 nucleotides) under uncultured bacterium. Its description in RNAcentral is "partial 16S ribosomal RNA". It matches the Rfam family "Bacterial small subunit ribosomal RNA", at positions 338 to 795 of the family's 1533-position model. The record is from RNAcentral.
CCUACGGGUGGCAGCAGUGAGGAAUAUUGGUCAAUGGGCGCGAGCCUGAACCAGCCAAGUAGCGUGAAGGAUGACUGCCCUACGGGUUGUAAACUUCUUUUAUAAAGGAAUAAAGUGAGGCCCGUGUGCCUUUUUGUAUGUACUUUAUGAAUAAGGAUCGGCUAACUUCGUUCCAGCAGCCGAGGGAAUACGGGGGAUCCGAGCGUUAUCCGGAGUUAUUGGGUUUAAAAGGAGCGUAGAUGGGGUGUUAAGUUCGUUGGGAAAGUUUGCGGCUCAACCGUAAAAUUGCAAUUGAUACUGGCAGUCUUGAGUACAGUUGAGGUAGGCGGAAUUCGUGGUGUAGCGGUGAAAUGCUUAGAUAUCACGAAGAACUCCGAUUGCGAAGGCAGCUUACUAAACUGCCACUGACAUUGAUGCUCGAAAGUGUGGGUAUCAAACAGGAUUAGAUACCCCGGUAGUC